This 433-nucleotide ribosomal RNA is filed under the name uncultured bacterium. RNAcentral describes it as "partial 16S ribosomal RNA". It matches the Rfam family "Bacterial small subunit ribosomal RNA", at positions 29 to 507 of the family's 1533-position model. The record is from RNAcentral.
AACGAACGCUGGCGGCAUGCCUAACACAUGCAAGUCGAACGAGACCUUCGGGUCUAGUGGCGCACGGGUGCGUAACGCGUGGGAACCUGCCCUUAGGUUCGGAAUAACUCCCCGAAAGGGGUGCUAAUACCGGAUAAUGUCUUCGGACCAAAGAUUUAUCGCCUUUGGAUGGGCCCGCGUUGGAUUAGCUAGUUGGUAGGGUAAAAGCCUACCAAGGCGACGAUCCAUAGCUGGUCUGAGAGGAUGACCAGCCACACUGGGACUGAGACACGGCCCAGACUCCUACGGGAGGCAGCAGUGGGGAAUAUUGGACAAUGGGCGAAAGCCUGAUCCAGCAAUGCCGCGCGAGUGAUGAAGGCCUUAGGGUUGUAAAGCUCUUUUACCCGGGAUGAUAAUGACAGUACCGGGAGAAUAAGCUCCGGCUAACUCCGUG